GGGAGGAAAAUUGCUACCUGCUGGCAGUGGGCUGCCAGACUGUCAGGUCCUACCCUUUCAAGGAGCAGAUGAAGAAGGGAAGGCAGAUCACAAGGGCAGCGGCAAAUACACAGCUUCUGCACAGGAGAGGAAUGGAAGAUCUGAGGCAACUUACAGGAACCUUUCUGGAGGCAGAGGGGAGCUCUGCUUGCUUUGAUGAGGUGCUUCAUGCCUAAGCCAAUAGGGACUGCUUGUAUGCUGAAGAUAAAGAUGUAUACCAGUUAGGUCUGCUUUGGUGGUUUGGAAAACUACAGUGAAAAGUACUGCCCAUACUGCAAGAGGAAAGAUAAAAUGUUCAACCUAGAGGAAGACUUUGAGCCUUCAUCUUCACAACCACCUUCAACCAUCACCAGAGGAUAGUACAGAUGCUCAAGCAGGAGUGACAGAGUUCCAAGGACCCCUCCUCUUCUCAGAAAUCUUCUGAAUAUGUAUA
Long non-coding RNA from Melopsittacus undulatus (budgerigar), 472 nucleotides. RefSeq lists it as uncharacterized. The transcript is spliced from 3 exons. The record is from RefSeq and is a predicted model, not a curated record. NCBI's taxonomy places the organism in Eukaryota, Metazoa, Chordata, Aves, Psittaciformes, Psittaculidae.